CAGUCGCCGCGGUAAUACGUAGGUGGCGAGCGUUGUCCGGAAUUAUUGGGCGUAAAGGGCUCGCAGGCGGUUUCUUAAGUCUGAUGUGAAAGCCCCCGGCUCAACCGGGGAGGGUCAUUGGAAACUGGGAAACUUGAGUGCAGAAGAGGAGAGUGGAAUUCCACGUGUAGCGGUGAAAUGCGUAGAGAUGUGGAGGAACACCAGUGGCGAAGGCGACUCUCUGGUCUGUAACUGACGCUGAGGAGCGAAAGCGUGGGGAGCGAACAGGAUUAGAUACCCCUGUAGUCCCUGUCUCUUAUAC
RNAcentral lists this ribosomal RNA (301 nucleotides) under uncultured bacterium. RNAcentral's name for it is "partial 16S ribosomal RNA". It matches the Rfam family "Bacterial small subunit ribosomal RNA", at positions 509 to 807 of the family's 1533-position model. The record is from RNAcentral.